RNAcentral lists this ribosomal RNA (501 nucleotides) under uncultured Glomeromycotina. Its description in RNAcentral is "partial small subunit ribosomal RNA". It matches the Rfam family "Eukaryotic small subunit ribosomal RNA", at positions 591 to 1092 of the family's 1831-position model. Lineage: Eukaryota; Fungi; Glomeromycota. The record is from RNAcentral.
CCAAUAGCGUAUAUUAAAGUUGUUGCAGUUAAAAAGCUCGUAGUUGAAUUUCGGGAUCAAUACGUCGGUCGUGCUUUCGGGUACGUACUGGCGCCAUUGGUUUCUCCUUUCUGACGAACCAUGAUGUCAUUAAUUUGGUGUUAUGGGGAGUUAGGACUGUUACUUUGAAAAAAUUAGAGUGUUUAAAGCAGGCAUUAGCUUGAAUACAUUAGCAUGGAAUAAUGAAAUAGGACGUUCGAUCCUAUUUUGUUGGUUUCUAGGAUCAACGUAAUGAUUAAUAGGGAUAGUUGGGGGCAUUAGUAUUCAAUUGUCAGAGGUGAAAUUCUUGGAUUUAUUGAAGACUAACUACUGCGAAAGCAUUUGCCAAGGAUGUUUUCAUUAAUCAAGAACGAAAGUUAGGGGAUCGAAGACGAUCAGAUACCGUCGUAGUCUUAACCAUAAACUAUGCCGACUAGGGAUCGGAUGAUGUUAAUUUUUUAAUGACUCAUUCGGCGCCUUACG